UGGCACUAUCGCUUGUGCGCGACGGAGCAUUGGCCCUCGCCAGGCAACAAAAACAAAUCUCAAAGGCUAUGCUUUUGGUGCCCGCGUGCGCUGAAAGCGAGUAUACGAAAGCUACAGUACGUCACAGCCGCCAUGUAGUAACAGUAAUCUCAGAGGCUAUAAUUUUCUGCCCUUAAAGUGCCAAAAGCCUUAGCAGAAACACAAAACGCGAAAAUCGAACAACGAAUAUUUCCAAAAUAAGUAAAUAUUUCACUGUGUAAUAAUAAAAUACUUUAAAAAUUUAUUUAAGUUUGCGUAGAUGCACGUUGAUGCGUUAUAGGCCCUUUGCAAAGCAGAAGCCUUGCAGUGAUCCAAUCCAAGCCAAGCCAUCGUUGUCACGGCGUCUUUCAUUGUGCGAUUGUUUCAAGGGCAGCGCAACAGCGGACGUGUGUUGAUUCGUUUGUCACUUUCCGUGCCUGCCAAAGUCUCCUGCUCCUGCAGCUAAUAAGGUGCCAACAUGCUUAGGCUUAAGGAGAAGCCUUAUACGCGAAAGAGAGCGUCGCUGGAGACAAAGAUGCUAUUCGAGGACUUUGGAUCUCGCACCGGCAGCCAGCAGUCAACGGCUCGAGAAGUCGCAAGUGCAGAAAUGUGCAGUGGCGCAUGUACUACUCACGCAUGUGUUAACACGUGUGGUCGUGCUGUACCUGCAAACAUUUGUGUGCCUUGCGACUCUGGCCGCUGCACCGAGGCGACAUCAGAAGUUCAGGCCGCUGGUUGUGACACUGCGCGCACUACGGACAAUGUACCUUGCUUCCUUGAUGGAUCCACUCUAAGCGACUCUUCGGAUGGUUCACUUGGCUCGCCUGUGAGAGCGUCACAAGAGGAUCCCUUAGGAGAGGUGAGUGUGGGUUCUCUGGUUAGCAGGACCCCGGAGCCUACAUUUGAUUUAGCUACCGCGGACUCUUCAUCGGUGCCCUCUGACUUUGCUGAACGACUGCGCAGUUGGGCUAUUAAGGAAAAUGUUACGCAUACAGCGGUCACAUCACUGCUAAAGAUGCUCAAGACGAGUAGCUUUGACCCCUCAUCUCUCCCAAGUGACGCUCGCACUUUGCUCUCCACGCCCAGGGGUACACAACGUGCACCUGCUUUAACUGACAUGGCUCCUGGGCAAUACUGUCACUUUGGCUUGCAGUGCAGUCUAGAAAAUGCCUUGUCGGAAGCAUGUUUUAAGGGCAGCCAUGUUUCUUUGUUGUUUAAUAUUGACGGACUGCCAAUUUCUAAGAGUUCUAACAUGCAGUUGUGGCCAAUACAGUGCAUGAUUGGUGAGCAUGGCAGAGUUUCACCCUUUGUAGUCGGCAUUUUUGCUGGGCCUUCAAAGCCUGUUUCAGCGAAUGAUUUUCUGAGCCCCCUUGUCAGUGAGCUGCAGCAGCUUCUUUCGCAUGGAAUGGUUUUUGAGCACCGGGUAAUUAAGGUUUCGUCAACUUGUUUUGUUUUAGAUGCACCAGCACGGUCAUUUGUUUUUCAAAUUAAAGGACACACUGGAUAUUCUGGGUGCCCAAAGUGCACAGUAGAGGGCACAUACAGCAACAACCGACUCAGCUUUCCAGCGAGGUCCUCCACUUUGCGCACCGAUGAUUCAUUCAGGCGUCAGACUGACCCUGACCAUCACCUAGGCACCUCAGUUUUGAUGACGCUUCCCAUAGACUGUGUCGCCUCUGCACCCCUUGACUACAUGCACCUUUUAUGUCUGGGCAUUAUGAAAAAGUUGCUUAGUGCUUGGUUAGGUGGCCGUUUAGAGGUCCGUCUCGGACCUGCAGAACGAAGACGGUUGUCUGACUUAAACCUAUCUUUAGCUCCUAAUGUACCUAAAGAAUUUUCCCGCAAACCUAGAAGUGUAGCAGAGGCUGAGCGUUGGAAGGCCACAGAAUUCAGACUACUACUUCUCUACACUGGGCCUGUAGUACUCAUGCCUGUUCUACCUCCUGAUCUUUACAUGAACUUUCUUUCGCUGCACUGUGCAGUGUACAUUCUGGCAAGUCCUAGCCUGUGCCAGCAGCAUACUGAUUAUGCCGAGUCUCUUCUUAAGUACUUUGUUAAAACUUUUGCAAGAUUGUAUGGAAAUGACCAGGUUUCCUACAAUGUUCACUGUGCAUUACAUGUUGCAAAUGAUGUACGCAAGCACGGACCACUGGACAUGUUCAGCGCAUUUCCUUUUGAAAAUAAUAUGCAGUACCUCAAGCGGCUUCUAAAAAGCCACAAGAUUCCACUUGCCCAGCUGUACAACCGCUUAAAGGAGCGAGAGGGAAAGGGGGCGGCAACCUUUCCAUCACUGAACGCGAUUAAAUUUACAAAAGAACAUUCAGAUGGGCCUCUCCUAGGUACCUGUGCACCACCCCAGUACAAACAGGCCACGUUUGCUAGCUUCAUCCUCAGUGUAGAUGUUCCUGAUAACUGCUGCAUAAUAGAUGGCUCUGUCGUGAUUGUAGAUAGUUUCGCACACUUUAGAGCUACACAAGCACCUUGCAUCAUUGGUCGCGAAUUCAUGGUGAAGGAAAACUUCUAUGAUAAGCCAUUUUCUUCUUGUACCAUUGAUGUUUAUGUGGUUUCACAGCUUUCUGAUGUUAAAUGUUGGCCAUUAAGGAAUGUGCGUAAGCUUGUCAGGUUACCCUGGCAUGGGAAAUUUGUUAUAAUUCCAUUGCUGCAUAUGUCUUAAUCGCAGGUGUUAUACCUGUGCCACACGGGCGAGGUUAAUGGCAUUAAAUGUUUAAGACCUAAGUUUCUUAAUGCCAUUAUAUUUCGGUCGCUGCUACAUGCGCAUACUUAAUGACAUUAAGCUUUACGAUGGCGAUAGAUGCAGUGGAAUGGUCAAGUUUGUUUGCAGGGCGAAAUGCGAAAACACCCGUGUACUUAGAUUUAGGUGCACGUUAAAGAACCCGAGGUGGUCAAAAUUUUCGGAGUCCUCCACUACGGCGUGCCUCAUAAUCAGAAAGUGGUUUUGGCACGUAAAACCUCAAAUAUUAUCUAUUAUUAUUAAAUCGUAAUACAAUAAAAAACAGUCAUCUAGGGAGCAGAUGUUUAAUUAAUUGGCAUAUUGUAUGUAGUUUACUUCUGGAAUGUCAUUGUUACACCCAGCCGUAAACUGUUUGAAGCCAAAGCUAGCUCGACGGCCAAUCCAUAGCGUAGCCAAAGCAUUGAAAUUGGAAAAAUAGCGCUCACAGCUUCAAAGCUCCCAAGCAGCGAUCCUGAAAAAUGUGACCGUGUGCUCCAGUUUGUUCUGACAUACGUGCUUCGAGUCGAGCAUCGUUGAGAAAUUCGAAGGCUUCAGUAUGAGGCCAACAAGGCAAGUAGCCGCCGCUGUGCAAUCGAACAGCUUCUCCUGGCUAAUGCGCUCACGAUUAGAGCUGUGGCCGUGAGUAGCGCCAAGAUCGCCUGCUGAUCUCUACGAAAAUAAAAAGCUCCUUUUAAAAAAGUGAAGAAUGUAUUAGUUGUUUUGAUCUACAAGUUUGUUUAAUAUCGUGAGGAUAUGGUCACUGCAGCCACGGCGGGAACAUUGUAAAUGAGAGUACGCAUUCGAUGGCCAAGUGAGUUUCAAUAAUUGUAAGAACUCACUACGCCGCAAGAGAGAGCUAUUUUUUAAAGAAAGUCAAGAAUAUAUUAAUUGUUCUUCACUAAUAGUUCGUUUAGUCACGUCAGAUUGGGGAGACAUUGGGAACCAGAGUACGCAUUCGACGGCAAAGUGAGUUACGAGAACGCACUACAUUGCGAAUGGCAUUUAAGCUUGAAUACCAUUAAGCAUGUCCGUGUGGCACCCCGCAAAUUACAUUAAAGUUUAAGGCAUUACCCAGUUAAUGUCAUUUUAUGUGCCCGUGUGGCAGGGAUAUGAGUGCUAUUCAAGUGAUGUAGUCAAGAUUAAUUCCUUCAUGUCAUUUCUGUUGCUUUCGCAGUUUAGUAAUGCUAAUUCAUGUCUUUUUGCUCUCUUUCUUUCAGCAUUCUGGGCUCCGUUGGAGCCCAGAAUGCUCCGUUGGAUUUUGUGUUUGUCUGCGUAUAACUACAGCCUUCAGUACAGGCGAGGCCAAGAAAACUUCAACGCAGACGCACUCAGUUGUCUGCCAGCUCCGGGAGACGAAGACGAGCCACAGCUACCUGGGGACGUGCUCCUGUUGGAAGCAGUCGAGUGCGCACCGCUGCAGGCGGCAGACAUCGCUGCGCUGAUCAAGAAGGACAAAGUAUUGUCCAUGGUAAAGGACUGGAUCCUUAGUGGCUGGCCGUCAACACAACUGGACAGCAAGUUCGCGCCUUACGAGGUGAGGAAGACGGAGUUGUCGUUGCAUCGUGAUUGCAUACUGUGGGGGAAUCGCGUUGUAAUUCCUCACGCAGCAAGAGAAAGUGUGCUUCAACUCCUACAUGCAAAUCACCCUGGGAUGAGUGCUAUGAAAGCGUCAGCUAGAGGGCUCAUGUGGUGGCCGAAAAUGGACCACGAAAUUGAAGAGUUUGUACGACACUGUCAGCCAUGUCAUAGUAACCGGCAAAGUGAUCCCAAGGUUCCAGUGCAUUUUUGGAUCAAUCCAGAUCAACCUUGGAGUCGCCUACACAUUGAUUUCGCUGGUCCAGUUAAUGGAGAAGUAUUUUUAAUCGUGGUAGACGCGUACAGCAACUGGGCUGAGGUCGAAAUCAUGUCAUCCAUAAAAGCUACAGCUGUCGUCACCAGCUUAAGGAAGAUGUUUGCGACACACGGUAUGCCAGACGUUAUCGUUUCGGAUAAUGGCACAGCAUUCACUAGCUCGGAGUUGCAAACGUUUUUAAAGUGCAAUGGUGUGCGUGCUAUUUUCACUGCUCCUUACAAUCCCGCCAGUAAUGGCAGGGUGGAGAGAAUGGUAAGAGAAGUUAAAGAAGCAACAGGAAGGUUCAACGCAGUGCAAGAUUUCACGGUUCCUGUUUAAACAGCACACGACGCCGCAUUCGGUCACGGGGAAAUCUCCGGCAGAAUUGAUGUUCGGACGAAGGCUGAGGACAGCCUUGGACAGACUUCAUCCGGACCGGCAAUACGUGCCGGAACCGCAACGACCGGAGAUUAAGAGGUUCCAUGUCGGUAACGCGGUCUAUGCUAAAAGCUUCUGUCCAGGUCCAAGGUGGAAGGCGGUCAGGGUUGUGGCAGUGCGAGGCCUGGUGUCGUACAUCGUCCAGUUGGACAACGGCGAACGCCAUCACAGGCACCGGAACCAGUUGAGGAGCGCCUGGACGAGGCUCGAAGCCGAUCCAGUCUGAAGUGCAGACUACCACGUCAGGCUGCCUCCUACAGCCAGACGACCACAACAGCCGCCGGUCAGCACGGAAGCAGCCGCAGGGGCAAGACCGGGCCAAGCUACCCAAGACCCGGUCGAGACGCGAAGAUCAACACACGUUAGACGGCCUAUCGCACGUUAUGGCAUUGAUGACUAACCAGACAUUUUGCAAUUGUGUAACGAAUCUUAGGGGAAAGGAAUAUUGUAUAUUGAUAUCGCGUGUCAUACUACAUUUUCAUGAUAAUCGCUUAUCGGCCACGCAAGCAUCAGUCGGCAGAUCACAUGUUCAUCACCCUAUAAAAAGGGCACGGCAUCAAUAGACGUCUGUUCCACCCUGGCGUCCGGCUAAUACGCUACACUUUCUUUUCGAGAGCAGUUUACUGUUGUUAACAAUUUCUCUUCCCCGACUUCUGUUAGCUCUGGUGUGCCACAAGGCAGCGUCCUCGGCCCCUUACUCUUCUCAAUCUCCAUUAACGACUUACCCGCCCAGAUUACUUCCUGCAUGCGCCUUUUUUCCGAUGACUGCAUAAUCUACCGUCCUAUUCACACGACUGACGAACUUCAAGCAGAUCUUAACCUUAUCGCUAACUGGUGUAACAAAUGGCUCAUGACACUAAACUGUACAAAGUGCGAGGUGAUGUGCUUCAGCCGAAAAUGUGUAAGUUCUAAAAAUUCAUAUCAUCUUAAUAACACUAUGUUUUCCCACACUUCAUCAUAUAAGUACCUUGGUGUUGUUCUUGCAGAGAAUCUUUCAUGGACCCCACACAUCACUUCUACAUACACCAAAGCAUCACAUUCUCUUGGCUAUCUACGGCACAACUUGCGAAAUGCCCUGCCAAACAUUCGAAAACUCGCUUUCCACACAUUCAUUUUGCCACAGUUAGAAUUCGCCUCCCCAAUUUGGUCCCCUCAUCAAAAUUACCUAAUAAAUAUGACGGAAAUGAUACAAAACAGAGCAGCCCGGUUCAUAUCCCAUAACUACAGUAGAAACUCAAGCAUUACACAAAUUAGACUAGACCUACUGUUGCUGCCAUUAGAUGUCCGCCGCAACAUCGCUCUUCUCUGCUUAUUCCACAAAUAUAUUUACACUAAUAAACGAACCCGGUUACAAAUACAAAUACCACACUCUUUUUCACGCAGAUUACAUAAUCAGUUGAGUUUCAUGCGCACAUAUGCUAAAACAAAUGCAUUUAAUUCAUCUGCACUACCACGUGUCAUUCGUCUCUGGAAUGACCUCCCUGAUAACACAGCCUCCAUAUCUAAUCCCGACACGUUCAGCUCUCAGUUACUCAUGCUUUUCCCAUUUAAUACCAUUCACGAGUGACAAAUCUAGUGUAUGUUAUCGUGUAUUUUUGCCAUGUUGUAUAUCAUUUUCAGAAACGGUAUUCCUUUGGUCUGUUAACAGUAACAAGUGUUCAUGUGCCUUCAGAUAUUGCUUUGUAUUCCUAGUGCCUUCAAUAUUGUGUAACACGGUAAUCUCUUUCUGGCAGUGUUCCUCUUGGAAAUUUGAACGUUUUAUAUCUUUACUGUUUAAUAUGCCCCCCUUAAUUACUUUAUGCCCUGCCAUAAGGCCUGUAAGGUUCUUUUGAAUAAAUAAAUAAAUAUUUGCUUUUUGGCCUUUAUAUGUAGAUGUAUGAGGUGACAAUAAAAGAUUAAUUGUAUUUGGAA
Dermacentor albipictus is the source of this 6929-nucleotide long non-coding RNA. RefSeq lists it as uncharacterized. NCBI's taxonomy places the organism in Eukaryota, Metazoa, Arthropoda, Arachnida, Ixodida, Ixodidae. The record is from RefSeq and is a predicted model, not a curated record.